GACGAACCGUGCGAACGUUAUUCGGAAUCACUGGGCUUAAAGCGCGUGUAGGCGGGAUGGCACGUCGGUCGCUGAAAGCCCCCGGCUCAACCGGGGAAGGGGCGCCGAUACGGCCGGCCUGGAGGGACGUAGGGGGGCCUGGAACUUCCGGUGGAGCGGUGAAAUGCGUUGAGAUCGGAAGGAACGCCCGUGGCGAAAGCGAGGUCCUGGACGUCUGCUGACGCUGAGACGCGAAAGCCAGGGGAGCGAACGGG
This 254-nucleotide ribosomal RNA is filed under the name uncultured bacterium. RNAcentral describes it as "partial 16S ribosomal RNA". It matches the Rfam family "Bacterial small subunit ribosomal RNA", at positions 524 to 776 of the family's 1533-position model. The record is from RNAcentral.